GCCUUAGUAGUGUAGUGGCCCAGCAUACAGGCUUGUCGAGCCUGUGACCCGGGUUCAAAUCCCGGCUAAGGCG
RNAcentral lists this transfer RNA (73 nucleotides) under Microcaldota archaeon. RNAcentral describes it as "Candidatus Micrarchaeota archaeon (hot springs metagenome) tRNA-Asp". It matches the Rfam family "tRNA". From Rfam's summary of the family: Transfer RNA (tRNA) molecules are approximately 80 nucleotides in length. The record is from RNAcentral. Lineage: Archaea; Nanobdellati; Microcaldota.